This 240-nucleotide ribosomal RNA is filed under the name uncultured bacterium. Its description in RNAcentral is "partial 16S ribosomal RNA". It matches the Rfam family "Bacterial small subunit ribosomal RNA", at positions 96 to 334 of the family's 1533-position model. The record is from RNAcentral.
UGGCGAACGGGUGAGUAACGCGUGAGGAACCUGCCUCAAAGAGGGGGACAACAGUUGGAAACGACUGCUAAUACCGCAUAAGCCCACGGGUCGGCAUCGACCUGAGGGAAAAGGAGCAAUCCGUUUUGAGAUGGCCUCGCGUCCGAUUAGCUAGUUGGUGAGGUAACGGCCCACCAAGGCGACGAUCGGUAGCCGGACUGAGAGGUUGAACGGCCACAUUGGGACUGAGACACGGCCCAG